AAAGAGGGUUUGGAUGAACCCCGCGGUCCUACCUGGCUCCACCUUUGGGAAUGGAUAUAUGUGGUUCAUUUGACCGUCUAGUUUUGGAAUUGAUGGUAACUGUUGUUUUAAUGUUACAUAUGCAAUAGCUUGCUUUCUCUUUUGACUUUUUCUUUCUAUCCCAAGUAUCUUAUCAUCACCAUGAGAGAGCCCAAUAAUUUCCUUUUUCUGUUUACGAGAAUUAUGCUUCAAUUCUAGACAUUCUGGAAGAACAUUUAACAAAACCCGUGUUUGUUUUAUCCUGUUAGUAUCAACUACCAAUACGAAAUUCAUAAGGCUAGAGUAUUGAUUCUAUUGUUCGUGGAUAAAAGGAAUAUGGUAUGCGAAGCUGAUGGAGGUUUAAUUUAUGUAAGAGAGCCAUUUGGUCUUGAUAACAAUUGUUUCCGGGUCAUCUUGUAAUGCACCUGACUAUUCUACCAAGUACCCACUAAUUCUGACUAGCAUGGUGCCAGGUAAAAGUUUCCUGGUAGCUGAAGGUUUCUCGGAAGCAUCCUCUCUAUCUCUACGAGGUAGAGGUUAAGAUUGCGUACAAUCUAUUCUCUCUAGACCCUGCUUGUGUGAUUACACUGGAUUAUGCAUAAUAAAGGAGCUAAAGCUAGCAGCAAUGAGGAGAACUUGACAGCUCGUGAUGACGGAAACAAUGAGCUUAGAAGCAACAGGGAGGGAGAUGAUAGCAGCAAAGUUGCACCAGAUACCACUACAGAAAUGGGGGAUUCAAGCAGCUUUCCAUCAGUAAAAGAAAAUUCCUUUUCCGAGGCAGUUCCUCCUGAAAACCAUACUGGCCAACUGAAUGAGCAAAACACCCAGGAUAAGGCCAUACAGAGCGUCCAUUCACUGAGUGUAGAAGAUUACAACCAGUUACUUUACAAAUAUUAUGAACUUGAGGAUCAGAGGCAAAAGAUUUUGCAGCAACUUAACCAGUUUGGCAUCUCGGGUGAUCAAAAUUCUGAUUAUACUUCACAAGAACAUCAAGCUUAUGCAUCACAGAAUUUAAAUCCAACAGAAUCUUCUUUCUACUGCCCAUAUGGAUGCCAAAGUUGGGUGUCUCCAUGCACCGCAUCACCUUGUUGUUUGUGUGGAAAUCAGGAUGACAAAACAUGCGAUGCUUCUUUACAAUGUGUUCAAGGAAAAAACUCACUUCCACAAAACCCUAAUUUGGUUACCAUAGCAAUGGAAGCUGCAGAAAAGCACUCUCCUCUUUAAAACAAGCUUCUAACACGGCUUUACUGGAUUCAUUUGCAAAGGAAGGAAAACAAAUAGAGACGAUGAACCCUGUUGCUGCAGAGAAAGUUGCAGGCUUGGAGACAGAUCUAAAGGAAGUGCUGAAUGCAUGGUACUCAGCAGCUUUUACACUGGAAAGUAUCUUUCAGAGCAAUCCAAGAAGAGAGAUGGUUAACUUGGUACUUAUUCAGCUGGAAAUCAAAUGUGGUGUUGUCAAAUUGACAAAGAAAACAAACAUGUAUUAAUAUUACCGAGUCAAAAAUCAUGUGUUAGUGUUACCGAGGCUUUUGUACACUAGAAUUCGACGCUCUGAUGUAACAUUUGAUGUUGUACAGCACUUCUGGUUGGUUGAUUUUCCGAAAUAUAUUGGCUAAAGAGUUCUUUUUGACGAGUUAA
Molecule: RNA transcript, 1656 nt
Organism: Capsicum annuum
Lineage: Eukaryota; Viridiplantae; Streptophyta; Magnoliopsida; Solanales; Solanaceae
Exons: 6
Source: RefSeq, a predicted model, not a curated record